RNAcentral lists this ribosomal RNA (26 nucleotides) under Pseudo-nitzschia calliantha. Its description in RNAcentral is "partial large subunit ribosomal RNA". The record is from RNAcentral. Lineage: Eukaryota; Bacillariophyta; Bacillariophyceae; Bacillariales; Bacillariaceae.
CCGGAUCUCAGAUCAAGUAAGAUUAC